AACGGAGUAACUCCUGGUGGCACAAAAAUGGGCUUUUUCAGACGUCUUUGGGGAAGGGUCCAGCUCCAACCCAAUUUUGUAUGGAUCCGAAAUUUCGGCUGACCCGACCCGAUGUUGGCCCAAUUGUUUUUGGGCCAGCUCCACAUCGCCCCGCUCAAAAGCUCGGAAGCCUUAAAGCCCUCUGACCCGACCCGCCCAAAAGCCGACGACCCGGUUCGUUUUACGCGUGUAUUACAC
Molecule: long non-coding RNA, 237 nt
Filed under: Linum usitatissimum (flax)
Lineage: Eukaryota; Viridiplantae; Streptophyta; Magnoliopsida; Malpighiales; Linaceae
Description: long non-coding RNA (LUSI_LNC005543)
Source: RNAcentral